GCGCGUGUGGCGUAAUUGGUAGCCGCGCAGACUUAGGAUCUGGUGUCGUGAGACGUGUAGGUUCGAGUCCUAUCACGCGCACAA
RNAcentral lists this transfer RNA (84 nucleotides) under Phocaeicola vulgatus. Its description in RNAcentral is "Bacteroides vulgatus tRNA-Leu". It matches the Rfam family "tRNA". Rfam says of the family: Transfer RNA (tRNA) molecules are approximately 80 nucleotides in length. Their secondary structure includes four short double-helical elements and three loops (D, anti-codon, and T loops). Lineage: Bacteria; Pseudomonadati; Bacteroidota; Bacteroidia; Bacteroidales; Bacteroidaceae. The record is from RNAcentral.